UACGUAGGGUGCGAGCGUUAAUCGGAAUUACUGGGCGUAAAGCGUGCGCAGGCGGUUUUGUAAGCCAGAUGUGAAAUCCCCGGGCUUAACCUGGGAACUGCAUUUGGGACUGCAAGGCUGGAGUACGGCAGAGGGAGGUGGAAUUCCACGUGUAGCAGUGAAAUGCGUAGAGAUGUGGAGGAACACCAAUGGCGAAGGCAGCCUCCUGGGCUAGUACUGACGCUCAUGCACGAAAGCGUGGGGAGCAAAC
This 250-nucleotide ribosomal RNA is filed under the name uncultured bacterium. Its description in RNAcentral is "partial 16S ribosomal RNA". It matches the Rfam family "Bacterial small subunit ribosomal RNA", at positions 524 to 773 of the family's 1533-position model. The record is from RNAcentral.